UUUCUGCUGCAUUACAUAUCUCUUGUUUGAGUUUGUUUUUGUGGCUUAUUUCGGUUUGAUUUUUUCUUUCCGGAUGAUUACUUUGAGAAAAUUAGAGUGCUCAAAGCAGGCUUUUGCCUUGAAUAGUUUAGCAUGGAAUAAUAAAGUAGGACUUUGGUUCUAUUUUGUUGGUUUUAGGUACCAAAGUAAUGGUUAAUAGGAACAGUUGGGGGCAUUCGUAUUUAACUGUCAGAGGUGAAAU
This 241-nucleotide ribosomal RNA is filed under the name Theileria orientalis. Its description in RNAcentral is "partial small subunit ribosomal RNA". The stretch from base 70 to 241 matches the Rfam family "Eukaryotic small subunit ribosomal RNA", at positions 744 to 917 of the family's 1831-position model. The record is from RNAcentral. Lineage: Eukaryota; Apicomplexa; Aconoidasida; Piroplasmida; Theileriidae.